UGCAGUCGAGGGGUAUAGUAGCAAUACUAGAGACCGGCGCACGGGUGCGUAACGCGUAUGCAAUCUACCUUAUACAGAGGGAUAGCCCAGAGAAAUUUGGAUUAAUACCUCAUAGCAUAGCAACUUCGCAUGAAGUCACUAUUAAAGUUCCAACGGUAUAAGAUGAGCAUGCGUCCUAUUAGCUAGAUGGUAAGGUAACGGCUUACCAUGGCUACGAUAGGUAGGGGUCCUGAGAGGGAGAUCCCCCACACUGGUACUGAGACACGGACCAGACUCCUACGGGAGGCAGCAGUGAGGAAUAUUGGACAAUGGGCGCAAGCCUGAUCCAGCCAUGCCGCGUGCAGGAAGACGCGUCUAUGGUGUGUAAACUGCUUUUGUACGGGAAGAAACACUCCCUCGUGAGGGAGCUUGACGGUACCGUAAGAAUAAGGAUCGGCUAACUCCGUGCCAGCAGCCGCGGUAAUACGGAGGAUCCAAGCGUUAUCCGGAAUCAUUGGGUUUAAAGGGUCCGUAGGCGGUUUGGUAAGUCAGUGGUGAAAGCCCAUCGCUUAACGAUGGAACGGCCAUUGAUACUGCCAGACUUGAAUUACUGGGAAGUAACUAGAAUAUGUAGUGUAGCGGUGAAAUGCUU
RNAcentral lists this ribosomal RNA (631 nucleotides) under uncultured Flavobacterium sp. Its description in RNAcentral is "bacterial SSU rRNA". It matches the Rfam family "Bacterial small subunit ribosomal RNA", at positions 56 to 691 of the family's 1533-position model. The record is from RNAcentral. Lineage: Bacteria; Pseudomonadati; Bacteroidota; Flavobacteriia; Flavobacteriales; Flavobacteriaceae.